RNAcentral lists this ribosomal RNA (504 nucleotides) under uncultured bacterium. Its description in RNAcentral is "partial 16S ribosomal RNA". It matches the Rfam family "Bacterial small subunit ribosomal RNA", at positions 30 to 523 of the family's 1533-position model. The record is from RNAcentral.
AUUGAACGCUGGCGGCAGGCCUAACACAUGCAAGUCGAACGGUAGCACAGAGAGCUUGCUCUCGGGUGACGAGUGGCGGACGGGUGAGUAACGUCUGGGAAACUGCCCGAUGGAGGGGGAUAACUACUGGAAACGGUAGCUAAUACCGCAUAACGUCGCAAGACCAAAGUGGGGGACCUUCGGGCCUCACACCAUCGGAUGUGCCCAGAUGGGAUUAGCUAGUAGGUGGGGUAAUGGCUCACCUAGGCGACGAUCCCUAGCUGGUCUGAGAGGAUGACCAGCCACACUGGAACUGAGACACGGUCCAGACUCCUACGGGAGGCAGCAGUGGGGAAUAUUGCACAAUGGGCGCAAGCCUGAUGCAGCCAUGCCGCGUGUAUGAAGAAGGCCUUCGGGUUGUAAAGUACUUUCAGCGGGGAGGAAGGCGGUGAAGUUAAUAACUUCACCGAUUGACGUUACCCGCAGAAGAAGCACCGGCUAACUCCGUGCCAGCAGCCGCGGUAA